Molecule: ribosomal RNA, 526 nt
Filed under: uncultured bacterium
Lineage: Bacteria
Description: partial 16S ribosomal RNA
Rfam family: Bacterial small subunit ribosomal RNA
Source: RNAcentral
UGGGGAAUAUUGCACAAUGGGCGAAAGCCUGAAUGCAGCAACGCCGCGUGAGUGAUGAAGGCCUUCGGGUUGUAAAGCUCUGUCUUUUGGGACGAUAAUGACGGUACCAAAGGAGGAAGCCACGGCUAACUACGUGCCAGCAGCCGCGGUAAUACGUAGGUGGCAAGCGUUGUCCGGAUUUACGGGCGUAAAGGAUGCGUAGGCGGAUUUUUAAGUGAGAUGUGAAAUACCCGGGCUUAACUUGGGUGCUGCAUUUCAAACUGGGAAUCUAGAGUGCGGGAGAGGAGAAUGGAAUUCCUAGUGUAGCGGUGAAAUGCGUAGAGAUUAGGAAGAACACCAGUGGCGAAGGCGAUUCUCUGGACCGUAACUGACGCUGAGGCAUGAAAGCGUGGGUAGCAAACAGGAUUAGAUACCCUGGUAGUCCACGCCGUAAACGAUGAGUACUAGGUGUAGGAGGUAUCGACCCCUUCUGUGCCGCAGUUAACACAAUCAAGUACUCCGCCCUGGGAAGUACGAUCGCAAGAUU